Molecule: ribosomal RNA, 2936 nt
Filed under: Salmonella enterica subsp. enterica serovar Typhimurium
Lineage: Bacteria; Pseudomonadati; Pseudomonadota; Gammaproteobacteria; Enterobacterales; Enterobacteriaceae
Description: partial 23S ribosomal RNA
Rfam family: Bacterial large subunit ribosomal RNA
Source: RNAcentral
AAUCCAUAGGUUAAUGAGGCGAACCGGGGGAACUGAAACAUCUAAGUACCCCGAGGAAAAGAAAUCAACCGAGAUUCCCCCAGUAGCGGCGAGCGAACGGGGAGGAGCCCAGAGCCUGAAUCAGCAUGUGUGUUAGUGGAAGCGUCUGGAAAGGCGCGCGAUACAGGGUGACAGCCCCGUACACAAAAGCGCAUGUGCUGUGAGCUCGAUGAGUAGGGCGGGACACGUGGUAUCCUGUCUGAAUAUGGGGGGACCAUCCUCCAAGGCUAAAUACUCCUGACUGACCGAUAGUGAACCAGUACCGUGAGGGAAAGGCGAAAAGAACCCCGGCGAGGGGAGUGAAAAAGAACCUGAAACCGUGUACGUACAAGCAGUGGGAGCCCCACCACCAAAGCAUUCUCUGGUGUUGAAGGCCCUGCAAAGCAGCAUCGCGGUGGCGGAGCGUCGUUUGCGACGCCCAACACACAAAACAAGCGGUGAAUGCUUUGGGGUGGGGUGACUGCGUACCUUUUGUAUAAUGGGUCAGCGACUUAUAUUCUGUAGCAAGGUUAACCGAAUAGGGGAGCCGGAGGGAAACCGAGUCUUAAUUGGGCGUUAAGUUGCAGGGUAUAGACCCGAAACCCGGUGAUCUAGCCAUGGGCAGGUUGAAGGUUGGGUAACACUAACUGGAGGACCGAACCGACUAAUGUUGAAAAAUUAGCGGAUGACCUGUGGCUGGGGGUGAAAGGCCAAUCAAACCGGGAGAUAGCUGGUUCUCCCCGAAAGCUAUUUAGGUAGCGCCUCGUGAAUUCAUCUCCGGGGGUAGAGCACUGUUUCGGCUAGGGGGCCAUCCCGGCUUACCAACCCGAUGCAAACUGCGAAUACCGGAGAAUGUUAUCACGGGAGACACACGGCGGGUGCUAACGUCCGUCGUGAAGAGGGAAACAACCCAGACCGCCAGCUAAGGUCCCAAAGUCAUGGUUAAGUGGGAAACGAUGUGGGAAGGCCCAGACAGCCAGGAUGUUGGCUUAGAAGCAGCCAUCAUUUAAAGAAAGCGUAAUAGCUCACUGGUCGAGUCGGCCUGCGCGGAAGAUGUAACGGGGCUAAACCAUGCACCGAAGCUGCGGCAGCGAACGUAUCACCCAAGACAACUUUACGGAGUUGACGAUUGACGGAGCGAAGCGACGUCAAAGCGUUCAUUAAAGUCGAGUUGGCUUAGGGAUACGUUCGUUGGGUAGGGGAGCGUUCUGUAAGCCUGUGAAGGUGUGUCGUGAGGCAUGCUGGAGGUAUCAGAAGUGCGAAUGCUGACAUAAGUAACGAUAAAGCGGGUGAAAAGCCCGCUCGCCGGAAGACCAAGGGUUCCUGUCCAACGUUAAUCGGGGCAGGGUGAGUCGACCCCUAAGGCGAGGCCGAAAGGCGUAGUCGAUGGGAAACGGGUUAAUAUUCCCGUACUUGGUGUUACUGCGAAGGGGGGACGGAGAAGGCUAUGUUGGCCGGGCGACGGUUGUCCCGGUUUAAGCGUGUAGGUGUGUGUUCCAGGUAAAUCCGGUUCACUUUAACACUGAGGCGUGAUGACGAGGCACUACGGUGCUGAAGCAACAAAUGCCCUGCUUCCAGGAAAAGCCUCUAAGCAUCAGGUAACAUCAAAUCGUACCCCAAACCGACACAGGUGGUCAGGUAGAGAAUACCAAGGCGCUUGAGAGAACUCGGGUGAAGGAACUAGGCAAAAUGGUGCCGUAACUUCGGGAGAAGGCACGCUGACACGUAGGUGAAGUGAUUUACUCAUGGAGCUGAAGUCAGUCGAAGAUACCAGCUGGCUGCAACUGUUUAUUAAAAACACAGCACUGUGCAAACACGAAAGUGGACGUAUACGGUGUGACGCCUGCCCGGUGCCGGAAGGUUAAUUGAUGGGGUCAGCGCAAGCGAAGCUCCUGAUCGAAGCCCCGGUAAACGGCGGCCGUAACUAUAACGGUCCUAAGGUAGCGAAAUUCCUUGUCGGGUAAGUUCCGACCUGCACGAAUGGCGUAAUGAUGGCCAGGCUGUCUCCACCCGAGACUCAGUGAAAUUGAACUCGCUGUGAAGAUGCAGUGUACCCGCGGCAAGACGGAAAGACCCCGUGAACCUUUACUAUAGCUUGACACUGAACAUUGAGCCUUGAUGUGUAGGAUAGGUGGGAGGCUUUGAAGUGUGGACGCCAGUCUGCAUGGAGCCGACCUUGAAAUACCACCCUUUAAUGUUUGAUGUUCUAACGUGGACCCGUAAUCCGGGUUGCGGACAGUGUCUGGUGGGUAGUUUGACUGGGGCGGUCUCCUCCUAAAGAGUAACGGAGGAGCACGAAGGUUGGCUAAUCCUGGUCGGACAUCAGGAGGUUAGUGCAAUGGCAUAAGCCAGCUUGACUGCGAGCGUGACGGCGCGAGCAGGUGCGAAAGCAGGUCAUAGUGAUCCGGUGGUUCUGAAUGGAAGGGCCAUCGCUCAACGGAUAAAAGGUACUCCGGGGAUAACAGGCUGAUACCGCCCAAGAGUUCAUAUCGACGGCGGUGUUUGGCACCUCGAUGUCGGCUCAUCACAUCCUGGGGCUGAAGUAGGUCCCAAGGGUAUGGCUGUUCGCCAUUUAAAGUGGUACGCGAGCUGGGUUUAGAACGUCGUGAGACAGUUCGGUCCCUAUCUGCCGUGGGCGCUGGAGAACUGAGGGGGGCUGCUCCUAGUACGAGAGGACCGGAGUGGACGCAUCACUGGUGUUCGGGUUGUCAUGCCAAUGGCACUGCCCGGUAGCUAAAUGCGGAAGAGAUAAGUGCUGAAAGCAUCUAAGCACGAAACUUGCCCCGAGAUGAGUUCUCCCUGAGACUUAGAGUCUCCUGAAGGAACGUUGAAGACGACGACGUUGAUAGGCCGGGUGUGUAAGCGCAGCGAUGCGUUGAGCUAACCGGUACUAAUGAACCGUGAGGCUUAACCUUACA